RNAcentral lists this ribosomal RNA (497 nucleotides) under uncultured bacterium. Its description in RNAcentral is "partial 16S ribosomal RNA". It matches the Rfam family "Bacterial small subunit ribosomal RNA", at positions 28 to 507 of the family's 1533-position model. The record is from RNAcentral.
GAUGAACGCUGGCGGCGUGCCUAAUACAUGCAAGUCGAGCGAACGGACGCGAAGCUUGCUUCUCUGAUGUUAGCGGCGGACGGGUGAGUAACACGUGGAUAACCUACCUAUAAGACUGGGAUAACUUCGGGAAACCGUAGCUAAUACCGGAUAAUAUUUUGAACCGCAUGGUUCAAAAGUGAAAGACGGUCUUGCUGUCACUUAUAGAUGGAUCCGCGCUGCAUUAGCUAGUUGGUAAGGUAACGGCUUACCAAGGCAACGAUGCAUAGCCGACCUGAGAGGGUGAUAGGCCACACUGGAACUGAGACACGGGCCAGAGUCCUACGGGAGGCAGCAGUAGGGAAGCUUCCGCAAUGGGCGAAAGCCUGAAGGAGCAACGCCGCGUGAGUGAUGAAGGUAUUCGGAUCUUAAAACUCUGUUAUUAGGGAAGAACAUAUGUGUAAGUAACUGUGCACAUCUUGACGGUACCGAAUCAGAAAGCCACGGCUAACUACGUG